UACGUAGGGAGCAAGCGUUGUCCGGAAUCAUUGGGCGUAAAGCGCGCGUAGGCGGCCCGGUAAGUCCGCUGUGAAAGUCCAGGGCUCAACCCUGGAAAGCCGGUGGAUACUGCCGGGCUAGAGUCCGGAAGAGGCGAGUGGAAUUCCUGGUGUAGCGGUGGAAUGCGCAGAUAUCAGGAGGAACACCAAUAGCGAAGGCAGCUCGCUGGGACGGUACUGACGCUGAGGUGCGAAAGCGUGGGGAGCGAACAGG
RNAcentral lists this ribosomal RNA (253 nucleotides) under uncultured bacterium. RNAcentral's name for it is "partial 16S ribosomal RNA". It matches the Rfam family "Bacterial small subunit ribosomal RNA", at positions 524 to 776 of the family's 1533-position model. The record is from RNAcentral.